Capsella rubella is the source of this 108-nucleotide small nucleolar RNA. It matches the Rfam family "Plant small nucleolar RNA R71". From Rfam's summary of the family: R71 is a member of the C/D box family of snoRNAs containing the C (UGAUGA) and D (CUGA) box motifs. Multiple nearly identical copies of this snoRNA have been identified in Arabidopsis, and it is thought to function as a 2'-O-ribose methylation guide for 18S ribosomal RNA. Lineage: Eukaryota; Viridiplantae; Streptophyta; Magnoliopsida; Brassicales; Brassicaceae. The record is from Rfam.
AAGCAGUGGUGAGGACAUUGGGACUAAUAGAUUUUGAAUCGCUCCCAUGCCUCAUAGAAGGUUUCGUUGUUUCGCUGAGCAAAGCUAGAGAUGUCGUUCCUCAAUCGU